GUGCUUCCUUCGGCAGCACAUGUACCAAAAUUGGAACAAUACAAGAUUCACAUGGCCCCUGCACAAGGAUGACAUGCAAAUUUGUGAAGCAUUUUAUAUAUAA
This is a small nuclear RNA of Saimiri boliviensis boliviensis (Bolivian squirrel monkey), 103 nucleotides long. Lineage: Eukaryota; Metazoa; Chordata; Mammalia; Primates; Cebidae. The record is from RefSeq and is a predicted model, not a curated record.